Macaca mulatta (Rhesus monkey) is the source of this 6315-nucleotide non-coding RNA. Lineage: Eukaryota; Metazoa; Chordata; Mammalia; Primates; Cercopithecidae. The record is from RefSeq and is a predicted model, not a curated record.
GAAUGAGGAAGAGAGAAACCUGAUCCCUUUCUCACACUGAGAGCCAGACUUAAAGCAACUAUAGGAGGUAGCUUUGUAAAUCAAUCCUCUUGAACUCUGCUAGGGAAAGGGGAUGGGCUGUUCCAGCAAAAUGUGCCACUGUAAGGUAUUGAUCAUUUUGGACAGGAUCUGUUUAGAAGCCAGUGUUUUAAAGAUGGGCAUUGUCUGGGACAACUCUCUUCCCUUCCCCCUCCAACCCUAUUACAUAUUCCCUAACCCUGAAAGUCUCACUCUAGAUUAUUUACUGCAAUGGCCCUGUUUGAGUCAAGAAAUAGGACAUGGGCAGGAGGAGAGGAGGGAUUGAUUGAACAUUUUCAAUUAAAACAAGCUGUCUUUGAACAAAGAUUUAAAAUCCAGGCAAGAAAGGCAAUAAUUCUCUUGGCUGGAAUGCUUUCCACUGUAUUGUAGAAUUAAGAGAUAAAAAAUUGGGGGUGAAAACUCCCAACUAUUCAUUAUAAACAAAAAUCUCAAGAUGGUCUGUAAGUUAAAAAUCUCAUCAUUUUCUGGUUCCUAUGUAGGUCAUUGAUCUCUUUCUCAAAAAUGGCAGGGUAUAGCCAGCCACAUGGGGAAGAUGGAAUCAAGACACUUAAAGCAAUAAACCAGGAGAAUUCAGCUGGGAUUGUCCAAAACUUGGACUGAUUCUGUGACUUUCAUACAGAGGUCUUUUGAAAAAAAGGGCAGGUGUAAGUAUCCCCAGCCUCCUAUUUAAUGGGGACCUUCAACAGGUAAUGAAGGUUUGAACAUUUACUGUUCAUUCUCAUUCAUUCACUCAUUCCUUCACGCAUCCAUUCAAAUGUUUGCUGGGCUCCUCCCAUGUAUAUACUGCUAUGAAGAGGACAGGGAUUGGGGUUAAAGGAAAAUUGGACAAAUACACUUUAUAGCCUAGAGAAGGAAACUGACAUGUUCCAGUUAACUAUAUUACCUGAGAGGCUGUUGCACUGUCAUCUUCAGAAAAGCAGGAACUAUUUUUUUUUUAAAGUUUACUCCACAAUGCAUACAGUGUAGUUACUAUCACCUAUCCUUACCAAAGCCCUGCAAAGUCAAAGUACAAUUCUACAUUAUAUUUCACAGAUGAGGACAUUGAAAACAAGAGAGUUUGCAUAACUAAUUCAGUCUCAUGGCAUGAAUGUAACAAAGGUAGCAUAUGAACUUCAGUGUCUUCUAACAGCGUGCAUAUGUUGUUUCCCUUCUUGAGUGUAAUCAUAAAUUCGAACACAAAAUUCUGUGGAUGUGUGGAAGGAGACUGAAUUCCAAAUGGAGGAAUUAUAAAAAGCUUCAUGGAGGUGCACAUACAACAAAGAUUUGAAGGACAAAGACAGGUCUUAAAGUGGGAGGAAGAGAAAGACAAGUAUCAGCAGAGAAACGGAGUGUGGCCAGGCACAUGACAUGAAAUAACACAGAAAAGGGUCCGAGGGCCCAUGUAGCUAAACGUGUAGAGUGGAAUGUGAUGCUGAAAUAUUAGGCUAGAGACAAGUGAGUGAAGGCUUUGAAUGUCAAGUUAAGAAACUUAAACUUCUAUUCUGUAGGCAAUAAAAGCCAAUGAACAUAUAUGGGUUGUAUUUGUCACUCAUUUAGUCAAUGUAUAUUUACUGAUCAUCUACUAUGUUUAUUAUGUUCAGGCUUUUUGGAAGGCUCAGGGUAUACUAUGGUUAAAAUCAAAGAAGACAAAACCAAGACAAUGGUUCUUAAGUCUAGAAGCAGAGAUAAAUAGCGAGGUAGUAAAACAAACAAAUCAAAAAAACCACACACACAUAUUGCACUUAAUAUAGUACUAUGAAGAAAAUGCACAGAGUCUGUACCUGCAGAUAAUGCAGGCAUGGGAAGGCCUCUCUGAGGAAGAGAUAUGAACUGGGAGUGAACAGUGACUGCAGCAGUACCUAUGAAGGGGAAGGGUGUCUGGGAAGGGUCCUCAGCUGAGAGACAGAAACUGGAAGAGGGCUGGCGGAGGGUGAUGGGCAAGGGCUAGAUCACCAAGACCUCUGGGCCACCUUAAGGAGUCUGGACUUUCUUGGUGAAUGGGAAGCUACUGAAGAGUUUGAAGCAGGAAAGUGACACCAUCUUAUUUUUAUUUCCAAAGGUCACUGCUGCACUAAAAGAGAAGGCAAGAGUGGAAGCAGGCAGAGUAGCCAGGGACGACUGCAAUGGUCCAGGAGAGGACAAGGGAGACCCCGGCUGUUCAGAGGCAGUAGAGAUGGGGAGACAUAUUUGUGGGAAGAGCCAACAGGACCUGCUGCCAGGUUGGAUGUGGGGCCCAAAGGAGAGGAAGGAGUGAAGGAUGACUCCUUCAUCUUUGGCUUUAGCAGCUGGGUCAAUGGGGUGCCCUGAUCUGGCAUUUGAAAGAAUGAGGCAGUAAGAGCUUCAGGGGAGAGAGUAGGAGGUCAGUUCAGAGCAUGUUGGGUUUGAGCUACAAGACAUUAAGUAUCCAGGGUCUGAAUCAGAAAUGGGGAAAAAAAUCAGAAAAUGGGAAUUGUUUCUGAAUUUUCAGCUCUUUGGGAUUAUUCAUGCUACAAAUUCUUGCUGACUGUGCAGUGUGUUCCAUUCUGCUCAGCUCUCCACCUCUUCCUGUCUGCUCUCAGGGUGUCCCAAGGGCUUUAGGAGAAUGGCAAUAACUGAAGGAUCCUCUGUUCUCCUGUCUCAGGGCCUCAGAUCUGGGGCCUUGAGUGUGCACACAAGUGGGAAUCAAGAGACCAACAUGGUUUUCAUCAUUAACUAGCCAUGUGACCUUGGGCCAUUUCCCUUCACUGGGCCUAACUUCUCUGUGGGUAAAUGUGGUCUCUCGAGUCCUUUUUCAGCUAACACGGUAUAUUCAAGCAAAGCCUUCAAUACAAUAAGCUUAUGAGAAAUCCUAUCCUCAUUCUUUCAUUCACAAAUAUAUAUGGAGAACUGAUCAUGUGCCGUUAUUUUAGACACUUGACAUAUACAGUGAACAAAACUGACAAAGACCUCUGUCUUUAUGGAGUUCAAAUUCUAGCUAUGGAAAACAAGCUGUAGACCUAAUAAUACAUGUGUAAAUUAUAUAGAAUGCUGGAACGUGGUAAGUGCUAUGGAGUAAAGAUAAAGAAUAGGGUAAGGGGAGGGCUGGGGACAAGGAGAAGAUCACAGCAUUAAGUAGAGCGCUCAGAGAGGCCUCCUUGAGAAGGUGGGGUGGGGAUGGGCUUGGGGAGGUGAAGGUGCUGGCCAGCAUCAAAGCGGAGUUAAUCCUCCUCAUCUGAAACACAGCCCUGACCGGUCAUUUCACAAUUAGACUCUUGCUAAAUCCAACCCAAUCCCAAACUGGGGAUAAUAAUCAACCUCAGGGAUGAGUCCUCCCUCGUGGGGUCAGGAACACCUCUUUCGUAGCAAUGGCUGUUUUUUGUCUGCAGGUCCAGGUCCUCUUCGCCUCCCAGAGCAGCUUCGGCGGAGACAAGUCUCACACACAUCCUCUCGUCUGGCCUGUGGCCUCCCUUCCCUGCCCUGCUCCUCCCCUUGUGGACUCAUCUCUGAAGCCUUCUUCAUACUUCUCACUCCCUGCAACUCUUCUAGAACCCUCAGCAAGUUCAGCUGGCCUAACUGCACUAAAGGGUGCUGAGCUCUGCCCCGCUCCUCAGACAUAAUAUCCCACUUCUCCUUUCCCCCUACUUGUGGGCCAUGGCAGCUCUGGUUACCAUCCCUAUUUUGCAGAUGAAAAAUCAGAAGUCACUUGUCUGAUGAGUCACAUCAAGUAUUGGCGCAAGGAGGAUUGAAACCCAUUUGUUCAUUUAUAUAUUCAUAUUAAGUGGUUUCUAUGUGACAGACACUGUUCUAGGAGCUAGGAUACAACAAAGAGAAAACAGACAUAUCUCUGUCCUCAUAAAGGUCUUUUCUUGCCAUUAUCCUGCUUCCAAAUAAGAAAAUUGAACUCCUACCUGCUCCGUGUUUGGAAACUCCCACCUAGAAUUCAUUUUCUGCUCAUACUCCUGCCCCUCCCAGCAACAGAUGAUCACCAUUAAAGGGGGAAGAUUAAUUGUGCAGAGGGAUAGGCCAAGGAAAAGUGAUUUCUCUUUGGUAAGGCUGACAGCGCUGCUAGAAUAUUAAAAGGCACCUGCCUAGGAGCCUCUAGGGAAGGCCAGAAGAAAAAUGUGACAAUGAAAUAGCUUUUGUCUCUGCCUCCCUACCAAUCCUCCCACAGUGUCGGACAAGUGCAUGACUAAACAGAUGAAUCCUUCUCUGAAGCGCAGUGUGGAGGCUGCCGAUGUAAUUGCAGAGUCCUUUCCCAUUGCAGGCAAGUCCGGGGGCACCCCCUAGGUAAGAAGACCUGUAAAGGAGAGGAGAGGAGAGAGGAAAGGGAGAUGGAGAAAGAGAGAAAGCGAGAAAGAGAGAGAGAUGGAUUAGAGAGUCAGGGAUGGACAGCAGGAGAGAGGAAGAGACAAAGAGGCCGCAGAGGCAGAGACUAGAAGCGAAAGAGAUGCAAACCAACAGAAAAAUACAGAGAAACUGGUCAGGAUGAAGCAAGAAGAUAAGGAGAGAAGGAUAAUCAGAGAGGCUGAGAGAGACUCAGGCUUGAAAACUGAGAAGAAAUGGGGUGGGGGCAGAGAGAGAAAAAUGGAGCAAAUGACAGAAAAGGAAAGAAUCAAACUGAAAGAGGCGUGAGAGAGAUACAAAUGUAGGCAAUAGGAGAAGGGAGGGAGAGGGGAAAGAAAGGCAAAAGAUGAGAUAGAAAGAGACAAAAGGAAAAAAUGCAGAGAAGCACAGCCGCAGAGGACAGACUGUAAAUGAGAUGUGUAAGACUGAAAUAGCGACAGGAACAGUGAGAGACUGAGAAGGACUGAGAGAAGAAGGUGGAGAGACACAGACGGGGACGGGAAGUGAGGCCUUUUUUGAUGGGCGAAAUGCAAUUCCACAGAGUAGGUAUUUCCUGAGAGGCUCACUUCACGGAGGAGGCUGGAGAUGAAUGCUUAUACGGAAAUUGUGGGAAGAGUGUCCAAUUCAUCACAGAAUGAAUUAAAGUUUGGGUUUCAGGACCACAAUUGCAUACAACGACCAACUCUUGUGGAGCUCACAAGGGAAGAAAGGCAGUAAACCAACCAACAAAUACAGUAUAAGAUUGAAAUCCAGGUGACUUGGAGGAAAAGUAAGACUUGGCCAGGUAAAGCUGAAUGGCAUGAAACGGCAUCCUGAAUAAAGGCAGAGGCAUGUGCAAGCAUGCUGAGGCAUGACGAUCCCUUCAAAGAUGUUUGUCAUGGCUGGAAUAUCUUCUAAAAGAUGAAGAAGGAAGUAAGAGAAAAAUGCAAGCACAGAUCAUCAUGAAUGCCUUGUGUGAUGUUAUGAGGUGAUUUCUCCUGUGACCCUGGUGAAGGGGGAUUUGGAGGGGACCCAGACUACAGACAGGAGGAAACAUCCUGGUCCAGGGAGAAUGGCCAAGAUUAUCUCAGGAUUUCAUGAAGAGGAGAAAUGGAGGUCAUUUCCUAGAGAUUAAUGGAGAAUUUGAUUGUGAGAAGAAAAUUGUUUAAGGAGCAGGGGUGGGUGUGGAGGCAAAUGUCACACACUCCAGAAGGUAAAGUGAGCUGGCUCUUCCCCUCUUACUCCUUGGAAAGAGGGAAAGCUCAUCAGAGCCAGGACCCUGGAAAAGUGAUGUGAUGAAGAGAAGGAGGCCCUGAAUAGCACCAUCUGAAAGGCAUUUCCAAGGAAGCCAGGGAUGUGACUCUGUCUUGGUUGCAGAGAUCAAAAGGUUUUGUGAAGGAAGCAAUGGCUCUCUAGCCCCCUUCUGGGUGAAUUCUGGGGUAGAGGGAUCCGGUUCCUUUGAUAACUGGUUAGUUAUAGCUAUAGGGUGAAGCCAGUUGAGUCAUAUUGGUCUGGGCUUCCAGAGACACAAGGUCUUCUUGAACCAUAAGCUCUCUGAACAAUGCCCCACCUAGGCAGAGCAGAGAACCCUGAACUUUUGCCUGGAGAGAACAAAGAAGUGCACGUCUUGGGAGCCACCAGACCUGGGACUACCCAUUGGACCCCUAACCUCCACUGUUCUUGGCCUGUCUCUCUUUCCCAUUAGAUUGUGAGUUCUUUGAGGACAGAGACUACCUCUUCUCCAUCCUUGUUUCCCUAGCCUAAUACACCAUCAAAUAAUGCUGCAGAAAGAAAAAGUAAAGGAAUAAAUAAAUAAACCUUAGAUAAGUGGUCCAUCCACUAAUCCUCAAUUCCUGAUUAGUAAAAUGAGAAUAACAAUAGCUACUAACAAAAGUAUUGUGUAGACUGUACGACUUAAUGAAUGUGAAAGCACCUGGUAUGGAAUUUAACAUAAAAUAGAUAAUCAAAAAUACAUUA